AGAGGCUGAAAUGCUUCGACAGAGGACAAUGUUGGACUUCAGAUGCUCCUGGGACACCAACCAUGAUGUUAGCCCAUCUGAUGAUCUGUGUGCAGUAAACACCAUCUCGUCAUCUCUUCUUCUCUCUGCGUGAACGGAGUCCUUGAGAUCUGAGUCCUCGCUCUAGGUCUCCAGAGGAGGUCAUGUCGGUGACGUCCUAUACCAGCUCUUGCUCGACAUCUUCCCUCUGAUGUUAUACAUGUUUACUUAAUAUUGUAAUUAUGAUGUACAUUAUAUUAAUAGUAAUAAAACAUAUUCAAAAACAU
This is a long non-coding RNA of Sebastes umbrosus (honeycomb rockfish), 305 nucleotides long. RefSeq lists it as uncharacterized. The record is from RefSeq and is a predicted model, not a curated record. The transcript is spliced from 2 exons. NCBI's taxonomy places the organism in Eukaryota, Metazoa, Chordata, Actinopteri, Perciformes, Sebastidae.